This 924-nucleotide long non-coding RNA is filed under the name Felis catus (domestic cat). RNAcentral describes it as "lncRNA (ENSFCAG00000053117.1)". Lineage: Eukaryota; Metazoa; Chordata; Mammalia; Carnivora; Felidae. The record is from RNAcentral.
CUUUUUAAUGGAAACAUAGCACACACUUACUUCAUUUCAGAUUAUUAAAUUGUGUUAAGCCUUAAAGUUAGUUGCCAUUCUUUGCUGUAGCUCAUUUGUUCUUUUCAAUCCAGAGAAAUACUAGAACGUUAAAACUUAUCACAUAGGAGGGUUUAAUCAUCCUACCAAAAUUAGACAGCAUGUAGCUCUGAAAGACUGAAUGUCAAAUUGUGUGCUCGUAGCCCUUAAACUACUGAGAAUCUAGGACCCCACUACUACAUUUAAAAUGACUGUUCAUGUUUGUGGAAAACCGUGGACGUUUAGGAACUGGUAAAGCUAGAGGUCUCUUACUCUUUGAUUAAGGGCACCACUUUCAGAUAAAAACAUAGACCUGAAUGGCAUCAUCCAGUAUCCAAGGAAACCAUGGAACCACUGGAGAUUUUGAGAUGGUCUAUUUAUUGAGAGCAACUUGGAUCCUAAAUUUGUCACCAGCUCUGGAUUUCUCUCCCAAGCCAGGAUUGUGUGAAGUCAUUACAAUUUAAAGCAUACUGUCGGUCGGUCAUUCCCUGGACUCCAACUUCUGUUUCACCCCCAACAUACAGAGUAGAGAAGAAAUGAACGACUACAGGGAGAUUGCUUUCUCCUACUUAUCAAGACAGAGUGGUGUAGAUUCACUUCUUUUGGGGGCAUGUGUUCCAAGAAGAAGCAGAUUUCCAUUACAGACUUGAAACUGAGGUGUGUGAGGAGCACACAGAUAUCUUCCUUUGAACUUUGAAGGAGAUCAUUUGCUGUUAACAUAAAAAUAAGACUAUUCACAAAUCAUUAGCUCUGAAGAAAGAUGACAUCAACAUUGUGAGGUACUCCGCCUGUUGGACAAAUACAAAAAGAAUCAAUUGUGGCAUACCUCUUGACUAAAGAGCAUCAGUGAAUAACUGCCUGCAGGGC